GGAAAGUCUGUAGCUCAGCAGUAGAGCAUCUGUUUUGCAUGCAGAGGGUGCCAGGUUCAAAUCCAGACAUCUCCA
Molecule: non-coding RNA, 75 nt
Organism: Podarcis lilfordi (Lilford's wall lizard)
Lineage: Eukaryota; Metazoa; Chordata; Lepidosauria; Squamata; Lacertidae
Source: the annotation of a GenBank genome assembly